Molecule: ribosomal RNA, 460 nt
Filed under: uncultured bacterium
Lineage: Bacteria
Description: partial 16S ribosomal RNA
Rfam family: Bacterial small subunit ribosomal RNA
Source: RNAcentral
CCUACGGGAGGCUGCAGUGAGGAAUAUUGGUCAAUGGACGAGAGUCUGAACCAGCCAAGCAGCGUGCAGGAUGACUGCCCUAUGGGUUGUAAACUUCUUUUAUAUGGGAAUAAAAUGUUCCACGUGUGGGAUUUUGUAUGUACCAUAUGAAUAAGGAUCGGCUAACUCCGUGCCAGCAGCCGCGGUAAUACGGAGGAUCCGAGCGUUAUCCGGAUUUAUUGGGUUUAAAGGGAGCGUAGGUGGAUUGUUAAGUCAGUUGUGAAAGUCUGCGGCUCAACCGCAAAAUUGCAGUUGAAACUGGCAGGCUGGAGUAUAGUAGAGGUAGGCGGAAUGCGUGGUGUAGCGGUGAAAUGCUUAGAUAUCACGAAGAACUCCGAUUGCGAAGGCAGUUCACUGGACUGCAACUGACACUGAGGCUCGAAAGCGUGGGUAGCAAACAGGAUUAGAUACCCUAGUAGUC